Molecule: ribosomal RNA, 664 nt
Filed under: uncultured Lactobacillus sp.
Lineage: Bacteria; Bacillati; Bacillota; Bacilli; Lactobacillales; Lactobacillaceae
Description: bacterial SSU rRNA
Rfam family: Bacterial small subunit ribosomal RNA
Source: RNAcentral
GAGUUUGAUCCUGGGCUCAGGACGAACGCCGGCCGGCGUGCCUAAUACAUGCAAGUCGAACGAGGUUUGGUCAGUUUGCGGUGGUGCUUGCAUCACCAAUUACCGAUCAAACCGAGUGGCGGACGGGUGAGUAACACGUGGGUAACCUGCCCUUCAGCAGGGGAUAACAUUUGGAAACAGAUGCUAAUACCGUAUAACCACGGAGACCGCAUGGUCUCCGGGUAAAAGAUGGCGCAAGCUAUCACUGAAGGAUGGACCCGCGGCGUAUUAGCCAGUUGGUGGGGUAACGGCCUACCAAAGCGAUGAUACGUAGCCGACCUGAGAGGGUAAUCGGCCACAUUGGGACUGAGACACGGCCCAAACUCCUACGGGAGGCAGCAGUAGGGAAUCUUCCACAAUGGACGCAAGUCUGAUGGAGCAACGCCGCGUGAGUGAAGAAGGCUUUCGGGUCGUAAAACUCUGUUAUUGAAGAAGAACGUGUGUGACAGUAACUGGUCAUGCAGUGACGGUAUUCAAUCAGAAAGUCACGGCUAACUACGUGCCAGCAGCCGCGGUAAUACGUAGGUGGCAAGCGUUGUCCGGAUUUAUUGGGCGUAAAGCGAGUGCAGGCGGUCUUUUAAGUCUGAUGUGAAAGCCUUCGGCUUAACCGAAGAAGGGCAUCGGA